Molecule: ribosomal RNA, 406 nt
Filed under: uncultured bacterium
Lineage: Bacteria
Description: partial 16S ribosomal RNA
Rfam family: Bacterial small subunit ribosomal RNA
Source: RNAcentral
AUUGAACGCUGGCGGCAGGCCUAACACAUGCAAGUCGAACGAGUGGCGGACGGGUGAGUAAUGUCUGGGAACCUGCCCGAUGGAGGGGGAUAACUACUGGAAACGGUAGCUAAUACCGCAUACCAUCGGAUGUGCCCAUCUUGGAUUAGCUUGUAGGUGAGGUAACGGCUCACCUAGGCGACGAUCCCUAGCUGGUCUGAGAGGAUGACCAGCCACGUUGGGACUGAGACACGGGCCAAGCUCCGACGGGAGGCAGCAGUGGGGAAUAUUGCACAAUGGGCGCAAGCCGGAUGCAGCCAUGCCGCGUGUAUGAAGAAGGCCUUCGGGUUGUAAAGUACGUUCAGCGGGGAGGCGGUACCCGAAGAAGAAGCACCGGCUAACUCCGUGCCAGCAGCCGCGGUAAUAG